AUUAGAGUGGAGUAGCCUACCUUGCAGAUCUGCUGAGUAGUGUUCCCUAUUGCAGGACAAUAUUCCUCCUGUACUCCAACUCUACCCCAUGAUGAAAGAUGACUGUCCUGCAGUAAUCACCACGCAGGAGUGCUCCCCUCAGAGCUCCUG
Sardina pilchardus (European sardine) is the source of this 150-nucleotide long non-coding RNA. RefSeq lists it as uncharacterized. The transcript is spliced from 3 exons. The record is from RefSeq and is a predicted model, not a curated record. NCBI's taxonomy places the organism in Eukaryota, Metazoa, Chordata, Actinopteri, Clupeiformes, Clupeidae.